RNAcentral lists this ribosomal RNA (301 nucleotides) under uncultured bacterium. Its description in RNAcentral is "partial 16S ribosomal RNA". It matches the Rfam family "Bacterial small subunit ribosomal RNA", at positions 509 to 807 of the family's 1533-position model. The record is from RNAcentral.
CAGCAGCCGCGGUAAUGCGUAGGUGGCAAGCGUUGUCCGGAAUUACUGGGCGUAAAGCGCACGUAGGCGGCUUUGUAAGUUAGAGGUGAAAGCCUGGAGCUCAACUUCAGAAUUGCCUUUAAGACUGCAUCGCUUGAAUCCAGGAGAGGUGAGUGGAAUUCCGAGUGUAGAGGUGAAAUUCGUAGAUAUUCGGAAGAACACCAGUGGCGAAGGCGGCUCACUGGACUGGUAUUGACGCUGAGGUGCGAAAGCGUGGGGAGCAAACAGGAUUAGAUACCCGAGUAGUCCCUGUCUCUUAUAC